RNAcentral lists this long non-coding RNA (223 nucleotides) under Malus domestica (apple). RNAcentral's name for it is "long non-coding RNA (MDOM_LNC018129)". Lineage: Eukaryota; Viridiplantae; Streptophyta; Magnoliopsida; Rosales; Rosaceae. The record is from RNAcentral.
UUCAAGGGUAAAGAAUCACUAAAUCUUUACUUCUCUUUAAUUUUGUUAAAGAGUUUAUUUUGGUUCACCCAAGUGGGAUAUCCUAAAGAAACUAUGGGUUAUGUCGACCAGAAAGUAAGAUGAAGCGAGAUCAGUAAGAUGUUUUUUUAUGGGAUAUCCUAAAGAAACUAUGGGAUAUGAGUUCUACCAUCCUGACGACCAGAAAGUCUUUGUCGCCAGAACU